UACGUAGGUGGCAAGCGUUAUCCGGAAUUAUUGGGCGUAAAGAGCGCGCAGGUGGUUGAUUAAGUCUGAUGUGAAAGCCCACGGCUUAACCGUGGAGGGUCAUUGGAAACUGGUCGACUUGAGUGCAGAAGAGGGAAGUGGAAUUCCUAGUGUAGCGGUGAAAUGCGUAGAUAUUAGGAGGAACACCAGUGGCGAAGGCGGCUUGCUGGACGACAACUGACGCUGAGGCGCGAAAGCGUGGGGAGCAAACAGGAUUAGAUACCCU
Molecule: ribosomal RNA, 265 nt
Filed under: uncultured prokaryote
Description: partial 16S ribosomal RNA
Rfam family: Bacterial small subunit ribosomal RNA
Source: RNAcentral